GGGAGGGAUAAGAGGAGGAGAGUGGGGGAAGGGUUGAUUGUUAGAGCAAGUAGGCUGCUGAGGAGAGGACUUCAGAAGCAGUGCACUCUGCAAGAAAAUAUGCUGUCUGGUUGAAAUCUAUUGGAUUUUCAGAUGAUAACGUUAGGAUACACGUUUAGCGAACUUUAUGACCACAUUCACUGUUGUUCCUUGUAGAUCUUGGACGUGAGAUUGCUAGGUCCGAACUCGCUAGACAUGAGAUGAGUUAGCGGUAUACUGGCCGUUAGCUAGUUUAAGAAGUAAAUAUUAUUUCAUAGAAAGGGUUGGCAAUAUCGAGGAAAAUCCUCGUCCAGACAUUGGCAAGAAAAUUCCACUUAACGACCUAUCGGGGUGGUGUGUCGGGAUGGACUGCUCUGAUGGAGAAACUCAACCUCCACAAACGGGAGUACCCCACUACCCGGCAAUACAUGUGUGCACAGCUCUCAUUCAAAAGUACUCCUUGUUGAGAGACCAGACAGGGAAGGGAUAUGUAAGAAUUCUUGAAUUUUCCUACUCACAUUGAUUCACACACUAAUAACCUUUUUACACCAUUGUGCCUACCGAGACCAUAAUGUGCUGGCUUAGAUGUUUACUUCUCACAUUGGUUAUUCCAUCACAUUCGCAGCAGCAUAAAAAUACCAUCUACUGUUAUGUAAUUAACUACUAUGUCUGCUCCUCUGACCUCACUUCCAAUAAUCCGUCAUGACAUUUCUCAUGUACCCUUUACAGUAUGCAGCCAUUCUAAUUCCAUUCAUUCGAAUCCAGCCUUUUUAUUAUACACCCUUAAAUUGAAGGUCUCGAGGCCACUGCAGCCAUUUUGCUACCUCCUCAAAGAAGAUCCAAGUGGGCUGUACGUCACAGACAGUGUAUGUGUUUCUCAGCGGACAAAUAGAUAAAUGAAAAGUUAGUAAUAAUACUGUGUAAGGGGUGCUCAGUUGUUAACAUACUGUUUGAAAUAUGACUUGAGAAACCAUAUUUUAAAAUGUGUAUUUUUUAUUUAUUUUUUACUUACAGUGUGUAAAUUUCCCCAUUACCUAGAACAAUUAGAGCCAAGUCCAACUGUUCCUGGAUGGAGAGGAGCUACAUGCCAGAGGACAUCUCCAUGGAAUUGAGAUUGGCAAUGGGAGUCCAUUUUGUUUUUAACAUUGAGCAUGCAGCAUCAGUGAAAAACACUAUGCUGAGCUUUCAGAAACCUGUUCUGGGAAUUUAUGAGUGGGGUAAAUUACCAACAAAUGUUGAAUGGCAAACUUUUUUCAGAGUUCCUCUGUCCAGUGUCUGUGUUAUUUUGCCCAUCUUCAUCUUUUCUUUUUAUAGGCCAGUCUGAGAUAUGGCUUUUUCUUUGCAACUCUGCACAGAAGGCCAGCAUCCCGGAGUCGGCCUUUUCAUUGUUGACGUUGAGACUGGAGUUUUGCGGGUACUAUUUAAUGAAGCUGCCAGUUGAGGACUUGUGGGGCGGGGCGUCUGUUUCUCAAACGAGAUACUCUAAUGUACUUGUCCUCUUGCUCAGUUGUGCACCGGGGCCUCCCACUCUUUCGAUUCUGGUUAGAGCCAGUUUGCGCUGUCCUGUGAAGGGAGUAGUACACAGCAUUGUACGAGAUCUUCAGUUUCUUAGCAAUUUCUCGCAUGGAAAAGCCUUCAUUUCUCAGAACAAGAAUAGACUGAUGAGUUUCGGAAGAAAGGUCUUUGUUUCUGGCCAUUUUGAGCCUGUAAUCGAACCCACAAAUGCUGAUGCUCCAGAUACUCAACUAGUUUAAAGAAGGCCAGUUUUAUUGCUUCUUUAAUCAGAAGAACUGUUUUCAGCUGUGCUAACAUAAUUGCAAAAGGGUUUUCUGAUGAUCAAUUAGCCUUUUAAAAUUAUAAACUUGGAUUAGCUAACACAACGUGUCAUUGGAACACAGGAGUGAUGGUUGCUGAUAAUGGGCCUCUACGCCUAUGUAGAUAUUCCAUUACAAAUCAGCCAUUUCCAGCUACAAUAGUCAUUUACAACAUUAACAAUAUCUACACUGUAUUUCUGAUCUAUUUGAUGUUAUUUUAAUGGACAAAAAAUUUGCUUUUCUUUCAAAAACAAGGAAAUAUCUAAGUAACCCCAAACUUUUGAACGGUAGUGUAUAUACUGUAUGUAUGUUUUUAUGUUUAGAUUCAUAAUAUAAUUUAAAAGUAUGCAUGAAGGGAUCUGUAAUAGAAUAAAUGUGGCAAAAUGUCUACAUUACGAAUGUAGACAUUAAUAAAGGCAUUUCUAAUAAUGUGUGACACAUGGUGCCAGGUUUCCUCCAGACGUGACGCUUGGCCUUCAGGCCAAAGAGUUCAAUAUUGGUUUCAUCAGACUAGAGAAUCUUGUUUCUCAUGGUUUGAGAGUCUUUAGGUGCCUUUUGGCAAACUCAAAGCGGGUUGUCAUGUGCCUUUUACUGAGGAGUGGCUUCCGUCUGGCCACUCUAACAUAAAGGCCAGAUUGGUGGAGUGCUGCAGAGAUGGUUGUCCUAUCUCCACAGAUCAACUAUAGAGCUCAGGUUCUUGGUCACCUCCCUGACCAAGGCCCUUCUUCCCUGAUUUCUCAGUUUGGCCAGGCAGCCAGUUCUAGGAAGAGUCUUGGUGGUUCCAAACAUCUUCCAUUUUAGAAUGAUGGAGGCCACUGUGUUCUUGGGGACAUUCAAUUCUACAGAAAUUGUUUGGUACCCUUCCCCAGAUCUGUGCCACGACACAAUCCUGUUUUGUUGCUCUAUGGAUAAUUCCUUCAACCUCAUGGCUUGGUUUUUGCUCUGACCAUGCACUGUCAACUAUGGGACCUUAUAUAGACAGGUGUGUGCCUUUCCAAAUCAUGUCCAAUCAAUUGAAUUUACCACAGGUGGACUCCAAUCGAGUUGUAGAAACAUCUCAAGUGUGAUCAAUGGAAACAGGAUGGACCUGAGCUCAAUUUCGAGUCUCAUAGCAAAGGGUC
Molecule: long non-coding RNA, 2953 nt
Organism: Oncorhynchus tshawytscha (Chinook salmon)
Lineage: Eukaryota; Metazoa; Chordata; Actinopteri; Salmoniformes; Salmonidae
Source: Ensembl